GCAUAACGCGAAGAACCUUACCCACCUUUGACAUGUACGGAAUCCUUUAGAGAUAGAGGAGUGCUCGAAAGAGAGCCGUAACACAGGUGCUGCAUGGCUGUCGUCAGCUCGUGUCGUGAGAUGUUGGGUUAAGUCCCGCAACGAGCGCAACCCUUGCCAUUAGUUGCUACGAAAGGGCACUCUAAUGGGACUGCCGGUGACAAACCGGAGGAAGGUGGGGAUGACGUCAAGUCCUCAUGGCCCUUAUAGGUGGGGCUACACACGUCAUACAAUGGCUGGUACAAAGGGUUGCCAACCCGCGAGGGGGAGCUAUCCACUAAAGACACGUCGUAGUCCGGACGUCGCAGUCUGCAACUACGACUGCGUGAAGUACGGAAGUACGCUAGUAAUACGUGGAGUCAGAAUAGUCACGGUGAA
This 417-nucleotide ribosomal RNA is filed under the name uncultured bacterium. RNAcentral's name for it is "bacterial SSU rRNA". It matches the Rfam family "Bacterial small subunit ribosomal RNA", at positions 954 to 1366 of the family's 1533-position model. The record is from RNAcentral.